UACCAGCAUCCUGAACCUGAAUGUCCAGCUUCGCCUUGUUCUUUGUGGAUUAUAAGACCAUUGAUUAAAUAAAUCCUUUCAUCAAAAUUAUCUUAAAAAAGAAACUACCAUCUAAAUCCAGUUAUUCCAUCUGACUUGGUAGCAGUGAUGUUUGGAGUUUAGGACCUAAAGGUGAAAUGGUAGGGGAAAAUCUGGGUGCUCGGAAAGACACCAGAAGCACACAGAAGAAGAUCAUAUGAAGACACAACAAGAAGGUGACUAGCUGCAAGCCAAGAAGAGAAGCCUCAGAAGAAAUCAAACGUACUAGCACCUUGA
RNAcentral lists this long non-coding RNA (315 nucleotides) under Homo sapiens (human). RNAcentral describes it as "HSALNT0343133". The record is from RNAcentral. Lineage: Eukaryota; Metazoa; Chordata; Mammalia; Primates; Hominidae.